This is a non-coding RNA of Pelobates cultripes (western spadefoot toad), 210 nucleotides long. NCBI's taxonomy places the organism in Eukaryota, Metazoa, Chordata, Amphibia, Anura, Pelobatidae. The record is from the annotation of a GenBank genome assembly.
GUUCGGCAGGAGUGCACGAACGGCCCAGUGUUCGGGAGUUUUACCUGACUAUGUUAUACCCCAGAUAGGAAUCCCAUGGAGCCCAUUCGUAUGAUAACUGACUUUGUAAAGACUUUGGCUCCAUGGCGAUUAAACUGUAUCCGUGUGGUCUAAGCGCCAUUCGCUUAAUAAUGUGCGCUCAGACCUGAGCUAUCUGGGGAUAGGUUAAAU